AUGUGAAUAUUUUGCUGAUUCUUUUUUUUUUAUUAUUAUUAAUUCUGCAUGUGAAUUUUAUCAAUUCUUUUCAAUUCCCUUUGGAAAAGUGCAUGUGGUUAAAAAAAUAUGCUUAUUUUUUACAGAUUGUUCUUAUGUUGGGCUGUUUCACCACAAUUCAAGGUUAGGAGGAUGGUUGAGUGCUCCCUAACAUGUUUAACACUAUCAUGAAUAUCCAAUUUUUUUAUGUGCCUGUCUCAAUUCAGGAGCAUGUAAUUUUGUGGUUUGGUUUAGUUCAUGUCUGUUAUAUUUUGUUGUUGUAAAUAGUAUUGUUUUAAAUAAGGCUGUUUUUUUUUAAGUUUGUUUAAAUUUAUAUUUUUACAGUCAUGGCCUUGUAUAGCUAACUAUAAUGUAUGGGUAUUUAUCAUUGUUCAAGGAUGCAGGGUGACCUAAAAUUAAUUAUAUCCAAAUCAUUUGAACUCUGG
This 464-nucleotide long non-coding RNA is filed under the name Mytilus galloprovincialis (Mediterranean mussel). The record is from RNAcentral. Lineage: Eukaryota; Metazoa; Mollusca; Bivalvia; Mytilida; Mytilidae.